This is a long non-coding RNA of Prosopis cineraria, 4898 nucleotides long. RefSeq lists it as uncharacterized. The transcript is spliced from 7 exons. Lineage: Eukaryota; Viridiplantae; Streptophyta; Magnoliopsida; Fabales; Fabaceae. The record is from RefSeq and is a predicted model, not a curated record.
UGCGUUUCUAUUUCUUGUUCACCGACAAUGUGCUCCUCCUCUCUUCACUGUCGGAUUCUUCUCCUCACAGUCAGACUUUUCUCCUCCCAUCAACCUUCUCCUCUGGUCGCCGAAGCUGUGCCACCGUUGGGAGUGGUGGAAGCUGGUUGAUUUCUCCUCUCUUCCUUGGUUGCUGUCGUGGUGGUUCUUCUUCUUCCUUGAUCUAGUUCUACUUGUUCUUCCUUCUUCGUAUUCGUCCGUCACUGAUGGAGGCCAAGUUCUCAUUUCUUCCUUUCUUUUUUCUCAAUCACGCCAUCGACCAGAGCUGGUAUCUUCCUCCUUGCUUUGCGACAGCACUAUUCUAUGUGUGAGGGGGAGACUCCAAAUCUUUCAAUCCUUUUUCUUCUUUGCUUUUUGAUUUAUCUUCUUUCUGGGAGAAAAAAACACAGCAUUUUUGCGUUCGCUUUCUCUUCACCGACAUCUUGCUCUUCUUCUCUCCUCACCGUCUCGAAUUCCUCCCUCACUGUCGGACUGCUCUCCUUGCUGUCACCCUUCUCCUCUGCUCGCCGAAUCUUGUUGUCACUGCUCGCCUCCUCGCCACCGUGAUAGUGUGCUGUGAUUUUCUGCUGCUGCUUCACGUUCCUCUGUUUCUUUCUAUCCUCGGUGCUGGCGUGGUGUGCAUGGGUGACCAGGGAGUUUGGGCUUCUGCCUUCCUCCGGUGGUCUGCAUGCUUAAGAAAUUGAUUUUCGGCAUCAUUGGAGUAAGUGAGAAAUUGAGGGAGUCUGAAUAUAAGGUUUUUCGAAACUUUCAGUUCUGUUAGCCUUUGGUUCGCCAUGAUAUACUUAGCUAGCAGGGUGCUUAUAGGAGGUGCAAGUCUUGUGCAAUGUCCAAUGUAUGUGGAUCGGAGGGUAAGUUAUUCGUGAGCAUUAUACUUAUACUUGUUUUCAUAGGCUUCAUGCUUGUAUUAGUUUCGUGCUUUCAGCUAUGCUUGGCUAGUUAUUUACCCUCGUAGAUUGUGUGUCCACGCUUGAUUUGUUAUUUACCCUCGUGAAUUAUGUGUUCACGCUUGUUAUUCAUUCUGAUAAAACCCUCCUAAAUUUAAGUUAAAAUUUAUCAUUUCUCUAGUAAUUCUCUAAAAGUACUUUAUCAAACUAUAUUAUUAUUGAAAAUUUCAUAUUUUAUGAGUAGUAAAAUUUUUAACACAUUUAUGUGAUUCUGUUAGCAUUGUUUAAUUUCAUGAUUAUAUUAUUGAGAAAAUCAUUAUUUAUUUCUAGUCUAAGUAUAUGAUUUAUUAUUUUUUUAAGUCAUUUUGAGUUAAAUUUAUUAUUUAUUAUCUUCAUACUUUCUUUAUUACAAUUUUGAUUCGAACGCUUCUUAUCGGUAAUUUCUUUGUUCUCAGAUAUUGUAGCUGACCCUACAUCUCCGGCGGAUCAUUGUGGGGUCAUUUUGUUUUUGGAAAAGAGGAAGCCUAUUGUGAUUAUUGUUUUGGUAAAACUACAUAUUUUAUUUUGUAAUCAUAGCUUAGUACUCCACGGGCACCAUAGUUAGGUCUCAGUCUUGUUUUGUUAUUAUGUAAAUUGUUGGAAUGGAGUUAGUCUCUUUGCUGGUUUGGUUGAUAGGUUUUGCUGUUAUAGAAAUUUUGAAAGGUUCAAAUUAUAGGAGGAACCCUGUCGAAAUUUCUGCAAAAGAUUUAAAACUUUAUGAACUUUAUUAUAUAUAACUUAUAUAUAUCGAUAAUUUAGCUUAAUUUCUGAUUAGUCAAGAUUUAUGAAUAUGAGUUCACCUCAUACUUCAUGCCAAUCAUACCCUUAGUAUUGUGAUAUGACAUGUACGAUAUGGUUCAUAUCUUGUGCUAAUCACCCUCUAUUUUUGGGGUGUAACGAAAUAUGGCCGAGUCUUUUUCUCAGAUGCCUAAGCAAUUGUUGCGUAGUCAUCUCAUUUGACGAAUUACAAAGGUACGCAUUUUCUUUUUCUGUUAUCAUCUUGCCUGUCUCUUUUCUCUCUCCCUCUCUCGCUUCUAUAAGUUCUUUCCCCUCUUUCUUCUUCAUCAGUUUCUUCUUAGCUUUAUUAUCUCUCAUUUCUUGAUCGGUUUCUUCUUCUUCUUUGUAGUCUUCUCCUCCUCCUCCUCCUCCUACUCCUCCACGGAUGAAUUAGUCAGAAUGAGUGGAUGGAAAAAUUGAGGGAAGGAAAUGAAAUAAAUUUCUAGAACAACGCUGCCGGAAAUCUCUCCUCCAUUAUGGCUGUUUCAAUUUCGGUUCUGCAUUUUCCCUUCAAUUUUCAAUUGAAAUUUAUUUACUUUUUGUUUCCAAGGGGGUGCUUUUUGAUUUGUUUUGUUGAUUUAUUUUGUUUGAUGUAUUAUCCCUGCCUCUGCUGAUUCAGUAUGUUUUUUUGGUUUAAACUACAGGCAGCAAUAUCUUGUAGAAAAGUUUUGAUACAUUAUUUAUUUCUUGCCUGUAGUAGGAUAGUUGAAAGCACUUCAUUUUUUUUUAAUUUUCCUGCGUUCUGUAGCAGUGAUAGUUUAAAGCACUUCAUCUUUGUUGAUCUGUAGAUUCAGUUCGCAUAGUUAAUUUAUUUAUCUUUGUUGAUCAGAGUAGUUUCAGUUCGCCUUUUCUUCCAUUGACUUAAGGAUCAUAAAAGCUUUAUAUGUUAAAUUUGGAAGGAUGCUUGGGAAAAUCUGCAUCUUUGGGUUCUCUAGCAGAUGUCACAACAAAAAUGGGCUUGUUGCUGUGAUUAUCCAGGUAUCUUGCUAAAAAAUGAGGAAAGCCUGGAAGUCCUUGAAAUGAUGAUCCUAGCCAACAAAAAGUCAGAUACUGAACGACAGUUAAUGAGUUCACAACAAUGCAAAUUUAGUCAGAUUGACCUUUCAUUGAUUGGCCUUUAAUAUCCCUUUCACUCUUUCAAAGGACCAGACUGCAUUUUUUUCCAACAUUUUAGGAAGUCCAAUUUUGCAGAUUGGCCUUUCCAUGUAUAAUGAUUUUCAUAUCUUUGAAGUCUUGGUAUUAUCCUCCAUAUCCAUGCGUGACAAUUAUUGUCACUGUAAUUGUUAUAUGCUCUGUUUCUACUCUUGCCUCUUGAGAAUAAUAAUUAUUAAAACAAGUUUUGGAGUAAUGCUUUUUCAGUUUUUGAAGCUGUCUAUCAAAGAACAAAUCUGAACAACUUGGAGCACAAUGAAUUAAAUAAAAUGGAAGUACACUAAUGUAACUAAAAAUUAAGGGAUCUUUUGUACAAAUCUGAACCUUGGUAAUUUAUCCAGUGGCAGCAUGUUCCCUAUUUGAAAGCAUGAGUUUUGUAUGGUUAUUUUAUUCCAAAUUAUUAUUAAUUUUACUAGGCUUCCCAAUAUUCUUCUCAUUGUUUAUUUAUUUCUUUGUAGAGUGAUGAACUUUAGUCUGAUUGACUUUAUUUGUGGCAAAUUGGUCCUUCCGUUUAUGAUUUUGGUUUAUGAAAGGCUCUUCUUUAGGAGACAUAGAAUCACGUCUUUUAGAGAUGAACAUGAUAUUGUUAGUUCAAUAUGCUCCUGUGAGGAGAGACCUAAGUGCGUUGUUGAAUAUGCAAGGAAGUCUUCUUUAACAAACUUUGCUUUUGCUGCAUGAGUUUUUUGGGACCCAAAUUUUUGAAAUGAAAUGAAAUCUUCUGAAAGCGUGUUAUAUUUAUACACCGAAGUGUCUUUAUAGAGAAGCUAAUUGCCUAGCUGAUUGCUUAGCUGGGAUUUGUCAUACUUUUGUAAACGAUUUGUAUAUCAUUGAUAAAAGAACCUCCUUUCUUAGUAGGGUGGUAGUUGCUGCUUUUUUGCUUUGUACUGCUACUGUUGCUGUUUUGAUUUCAUUUUUCAUACAAAAAAAGUGUCUUUUCCAGGUUAAAUCACUACGUUUUGUUAAGUAAAAGCUAAGUGACUUUCUUUGUCAUUGUAGUUAAGCAGAGUGAGAGAGAGAGAGAGCAACGUUUCAGAGGAAAAGAACAUGCAAAGUAUAAGUGAAGAUAUAAAUAAAUUUAAAUGAUAAAUUUCCAUUCAAACAUUGGCGUGAAAGGUACUUCAUUAAAAAAAAGAAAGAGAAAAAACUCACUUUUCUUUCUUUGUAAUUUUCGUUAUUUUCCUCGUGUGCAACAGUUUUGGCAAACUCCAGUUUCCACUAUUAAGAAAUUGAAUGGUUUGAUUUGUUACACAAAUCCUUGCCUUUUAAAAUGAUCUAUGGCAAUUAGUUAUUAAAUUUGUUUGUCAAUUUAACAUGCAAGGGAUACUGUGUUUGUGCUGUAGCUAUUUGGAAAAGAGACAGAGAGUGGGAUUUUGGUUUUGUAUAGGAAGGAGCUCUGCAAUGAUUUUAGCCUUGAUUUUGGUUUAUAAUCACGUGCUUAUCACAGUUUGUAGUCCAAAAUUUACUCAUCACGGAUGAAGUCAGAUUUCCCCUACUUCUUUGUUGGGAUUUUGCAACAACUCUAGGUACAUCAUUUAUGAAGGGAAGCUAAUUUUUUUGCGUACAGCUAUACUCUUGGUCUUUUCAAUUUUACUUCAAUGAUUUUUGUUCAGUCAGACACAUUUUGGACCUCAUCUCAGUCUAUUUUCUUAGUUUGUUUAGUUGGUUGUUAGUGGUGAAGCAAUAGCUGCUGCUGGUCUUGUAGCUGAAGCUAAGAAAGAUCAAAAGAAGGUUGAGAAGAAAACAACUUUAGCAUCACAAAAUCUUUGAUCUUUCUCAUAAAACAACUCUAGCAUUACAAAAUCUUAAUUAUCAUGCUAGGAAGAAGAAAACAAGCCUGUGAUCCUCUUUCCAAUAUUCCAAGAGACUUUCAGAAUAUAAAGAGUUUUAAUUUUUUUAGUAACAUUAAAGAAUAUUAGUAUCAAGUAUUAGUUAAGGAUAUUCUAACUUAAUAGCGAAAACAAACUAAAGCUUUAAUCAAACAUGGUUUUUUUUUUUUUUUUGAGGGGG